AUACUUACCUGGCAGGGGCAACAUCAUGAUCACCCAGGUGGUUUUCCCAGGGCAGGUGAUUGUCUCUGAUAUGUCCUCCAUCGGAGGUCUAUAUUGAGCAGAUUCUCUUUGGUGUUGGGUGGUGGAACUGGAGCUUGCUCCAUCCACUC
Molecule: small nuclear RNA, 149 nt
Filed under: Crocodylus porosus (Australian saltwater crocodile)
Lineage: Eukaryota; Metazoa; Chordata; Crocodylia; Crocodylidae
Description: U1 spliceosomal RNA (ENSCPRG00005001573.1)
Rfam family: U1 spliceosomal RNA
About the family: U1 is a small nuclear RNA (snRNA) component of the spliceosome (involved in pre-mRNA splicing).
Source: RNAcentral